This 503-nucleotide ribosomal RNA is filed under the name uncultured bacterium. Its description in RNAcentral is "partial 16S ribosomal RNA". It matches the Rfam family "Bacterial small subunit ribosomal RNA", at positions 30 to 523 of the family's 1533-position model. The record is from RNAcentral.
AUUGAACGCUGGCGGCAGGCUUAACACAUGCAAGUCGAGCGGGGUGAUGGUGCUUGCACUAUCACUUAGCGUCGGACGGGUGAGUAAUGCUUAGGAAUCUGCCUAUUAGUGGGGGACAACAUCUCGAAAGGGAUGCUAAUACCGCAUACGUCCUACGGGUGAAAGCAGGGGAUCACUUGCGACCUUGCGCUAAUAGAUGAGCCUAAGUCGGAUUAGGUAGUUGGUGGGGUAAGGGCCUACCAAGGCGAUGAUCUGUAGCGGGUCUGAGAGGAAGUAACGCGACAUUGGGACUGAGACACGGCCCAGACUCUUACGAGAGGCAGCAGUGGGGAAUAUUGGGCAAUGGGGGGAAUCCUGAUCCAGCGUUGCCGGGUGUGUGAAGACAGCCUUAUGGUAGUAAAGCACUUUAAGCGAGGAGGAGGCUCUUUUGGUUAAUACCCAAGAUGAGUGGACGUUACUCGCAGAAUAAGCACCGGCUAACUCUGUGCCAGCCGCCGCCGUAA